GACCAUCCAUCUCGCCACGACCAUCCAUUUCGCGUGUCAUAGGUGGCGUGGGUUACUGAUCAGGUGGGCGAUGGAUUUUGUCGCGUCUUUCAGAAUUUGAGGAAACACGCGGCUUGCUCUAUCAUGUCCCCUUUCCCCAUUCCCGUCCUGUCACUCAUCCCGGCGACGAGUAAAUCUCGCAACCCAAUCCCUCUUGAAUCCCUCGUGAGCGCAGGCGGCGGGGAGAGCCGGCGACCGCGGUGACGACCCGACGAAGGAUCCCGCAUUUCAACCGUGCAAGGGGGCGUCGGCGGCUCGGCCCGUGUGUGGUAGAAGAAGGAGAAGGUACCGGCAACGGGGAGGGAGUGGAGCUGGUGGUUCGGCGCGAGGUGGCGACGACCCCACCUAAGAUCGAGAUCCUGUUGCUUCGACGACAGAGAGGCAAACAUGGAACAAAAAUAGUGAAAACUAGGCACCACCACCCUGAGACGACAGUUUUUAAGAUGGAGGAUGUCCUAAAUCAACACAACGGCAAGGUAUGGAUUCAGGCAAAAAACCUACAAUCUAGGGACCAGUACAAACAAACGUCAUGGAUGGGAUCAAUGCUGGGGGGUUACAAAGUCGUAGAUGCCUAAGGAAGAAGCAGGUUCAGGAAGGAAGGAACAGAGCAUCUCCUGCAAGGCUUGUUAGGCUAAAUAAGAUCCUGGACCAAACGCAAAGGGAUCUGAUCGAAAAUGAAUAUUUCAUGGGAGGUAUCGUGAAGAUUGAGACAACAACAAUGCCUGCUGAUCUCAGUAGGUGGGUCUUACAGAGGUACAAACAAAGAGCGAGUGUAUAGAAGUCCCAGGGAGGGGUGAGAUACCCCUAACAGCUGAUAGCGUUCACCAAACACUGGGCCUACGCAAUUCGGGCGAUGAGGUGUUCUAUGGGUGGGAUGCAGAAGCCAUAUCGUUCAUAAACAACAAGUAUGGGUUCGAAAGUGGCAGCGCCCGAGAGAUAACAACCUUCUGUAAGAUGAUUGAAGACAUGAAUGGAAGAGCAGAUGAUGAUUUCAUGCGCGCCUGGUUGAUUGUGGUGGUCAGCACGUUCAUGUGCCCCACGACGAGCCUUCAUGUCAGCCCUCGAUGCUAUCCAAUAGUCGCUGACCUGGAUAAAGUAAAGAGGCUAAACUUUUGUUCCUUCACGGCAAAUCAGAUAAGGUAUUCAUUAGGAUUCAUGAGUAGGAAGAAGAAGGCAGUAAAUUGCUGCGUGCACCAUAUGGUGGUUUUGUAUGUUGAUUCACUGGUGGUCGACAUUCAAGUACCAGAUUGCCCAGCCCUGGCAGAAGCUUGGGACAACAAGUGCAUAGUGCAAUUUGCAAAUUCUGACAAAAAACUAGAGGGAGGUUACGGCAAGCUGAGAGUGAACUUUUUUGUAUCUCUUCAAUAAUUUUAUCGUCGUGUUAAUGUAUUCGUCUAGUUCUAUUUUAAGUUCCAACGCAAAAUAAACUCAGACAAGAAAUAAACUCAGUUCCAACGCAAAAUAAACUUAGACAAAAUAAAUUGGUUUCAAGGAACAGGGCUGAUGUGACGACCAAGGAUUGUUCAGCAAGUGGGGCGGAGCCGGCCAAGGAUAGUGCAAAUCAUGGCAAGUACGCAGAGGAAAGCCACGCAAACAUGACACGCAAGGAGCUUCCACGAAGACGAGAGCACCAAGAGGGUUAUCUUCGCAUCAAUGAAGCCACACAACCUAGAUGUUUCUCUGUCAGAAACUGGAGAUGAUUGGGGGCUGGACCUGGACCCCGAAGUGUUGCAGGAAGUGUGUUAUAAGGCAAAAAUGGAGUUUGCAAAGAGAAAAGAAAAGGAAAGGUCGGAGAUGCAGGAGGGGACUUCAAAGCAAAGGCGAUACAGUGAUCAAGAUGUGAAAACCCCAGCUCAAACAACAACAACAACAACAAGAACAACAACAGUAGGUAUUGCUAGCUCAUCACGGACACCAGGAGCUGCUGGACAUGAAAGGAGAGUUGUAAGGGUGCCAGCGCAACUGAGGUCACCAUACAUCGACCUUCAAAACACAGAUCCAUUGUACUGUUCAAAGGAAGUAUGCGACAUAUACGAUGUUGUGUGUCAGCACUCCACACAAACAACCAGGAGCAAGGGGAAACUAACUGACAACAGACAACCAAUUAUAAACUAUGAUGAGUUCUUCAUCAGCCGCAAUGAACUUGCGAACUCCAUGGCGCCUGAAAAGAAGAUGGACAACCUAGUGGCUGAGAUUGCAAUCAUUUCUUUGAUGGGACCAGAAAUAAGGCCAAAGAAGAGAAUAAUGCCACUACAAAUAGCUACAUACUUCCAGAACAACUGUUUCAUCAGGAGUGACAUCGACAAACAUUUUGAAAACAACACACAGAGGCUAAACCGAUGUGAAUCAAUUCUUGAUAAGGGGAAUCCAAAAGACACGGGCCACUACUGGGUGUUGGUGUUGAACAUUAGGGAGAAGCAUUUCGAAGUGCUAGAUUCAACAAGGACAAUGAAAGACAAGGCGUUCCUGGCAACAGCAUUGAAGAUCAUUGAUGGGAUUAAAGCAAAUUAGGGGAGGCACUACAAUACCUCAAGCGUUCAAAUUAACGAUUGGGGACUACAAGAAAUCAAAUGCCCCAGAGAGGAUAACGGGUGCAUAGAUCAUCGAUGCCAAAGAGUGCUACGCCAGAAGUAUACGACGAGUGGCCGGAGUGUCAGGCCCAGGUGUACCGGUUUCCGGCUUCCGAGCAACAGCCAGUAGUUACUUUAGGUUCACACUAGUGCUAGAGAGGGAUACGAACCGACGCCUCAAGAAGUACUACAUUAUGUAUGAUGAGACAUGUCAUGUAACUUGUAUAGCUAUAUCGUGAUUAUGAUGUGACGACAUGAUUUGUGUUGGAUGAUGUGAUGAGACUAUUACGUGUAUGAUAUGAUGAGCAUAUUGCAUGUUUAUGAUAUGAUUAGAAUAAUGUAUGAAACCUGUAAA
This is an RNA transcript of Hordeum vulgare subsp. vulgare (domesticated barley), 2964 nucleotides long. RefSeq lists it as uncharacterized. The record is from RefSeq and is a predicted model, not a curated record. The transcript is spliced from 10 exons. NCBI's taxonomy places the organism in Eukaryota, Viridiplantae, Streptophyta, Magnoliopsida, Poales, Poaceae.